RNA transcript from Medicago truncatula (barrel medic), 2556 nucleotides. It is a transcript of the gene named pentatricopeptide repeat-containing protein At1g26460, mitochondrial, with no coding region annotated. The transcript has 8 exons. NCBI's taxonomy places the organism in Eukaryota, Viridiplantae, Streptophyta, Magnoliopsida, Fabales, Fabaceae. The record is from RefSeq and is a predicted model, not a curated record.
CUUAGGCCCAAAUCCUAAUCAACCAUUUCAUUUCAUUUCAUCAUUCAUCACCUUUCCAAACAAAACAAACCCUAAAUUCGUUAAAACCCAACAAAACACACUUCACUCCACUCUCUCAAGCUCCUCAUCAAUGGCGUCACAAAUGUCGAUUCUCUAUCGAACGCGUUCUCUUCUCACAAAACCCAAUUUCACAAUCAAAUCAAUCUCAACAUUCCCAUAUCUCAAUCAAGAACCCGAACUUGUAGACCCCACACCACCACCACCAACAGAAUCAUCACUCCCACCAAAUCCAGCGUCAGGAUCCCCACUCUACAACGAAAAUUGGCGCAACCCAGUUCCAAAAACUUCAUCUUUAACCCAAUUUGGUCAUUUCACACGCGCUUCAGUUUCUGAAACCUAUGAUUCCAACGCGCUUUUGAAUGUUUUUGGUGAUUGGGUAGCUUCACAACGUUGGGGUGAUGUGAAGGAAAUGUUUGAAGGAUGGGUUAGGAGUUUGGAUAAAAAUGGGAAACCUAAUAAACCUGAUGUUAAUUUGUUUAAUCAUUAUAUUAGGGCUAAUCUUAUGAUUGGUGCUUCUGCUGCUGAUUUGCUUGAUUUGUUAGCUCAGAUGGAACAAUUUGAUAUUUUGCCGAAUACAGCGAGUUUUAAUUUGGUUCUUAAGGCUAUGCAUCAGGCUAGAGAGACUCUUGCUGCUGAGAAGCUUCUUGAACGGAUGCUGCAAUCUGGAAAUGAAGCUUUUCCUGAUGAUGAAUCAUUUGACUUGGUCAUUGGAAUGCUCUUUGCAACAGAUCAGAUUGAUACUGCAUUCAAAUAUAUAGAUUCAACUCUAAAACAUGGCAACAAGUUGUCAAUGGAUUUAUUUAUGAAAUGUGUGAGGAGUUGUGUCAAACAAGGAAGGCUUGAUACGUUGGUGGCAAUAAUUGAAAAGUGCAGGGCAACAGAUCAAAACAAAGCCCUUUGCCCCUCCUGGAAAUUGUGCAUUUUCAUAGCUGAAGUUGCAAUUCGAGCGGAUAAUAGCAAGUUAGCCUAUUAUGGCCUGGAGUUUAUGGCUCGAUGGAUUGUAAAGGGUGAACGUGCAAGACCUCCUGUGUUGCUUUCUGUAGAUGAAGGUUUAGCCGUGUCAGCUCUGAUGACUGCAGGUAGAACCUAUAAUUCUGAGCUGCUAGGAGCAGCAUGGGCUGUUUUGGACCGUUCGUUGCGUAAAAAGAAGCUUCCAAAUCCAGAAUCUUAUCUCGCAAAGAUAUAUGCCCUUGCAUCAUUGGGCAAUCUACAAAAGGCAUUUGGCACUCUGCAUGAUUAUGAGUCUGCUUAUGGAAAUUCUGAUCAAGAAGCUGACGACUUAUUCUGCCCAUUUACUUCUUUACAUCCAUUGUCUGUGGCAUGCUCAAAGAAGGGUUUUGAGACUUUAGAUACUGUUUAUUUUCAACUGGAGAAUUUAAGCCAUGCUGAGCGUCCAUACAAGUCUGUUGCUGCGCUAAACUGCGUCAUUGUAGGAUCUGCGAACAUAUGGGACCUUGAUCGAGCUUACCAAACUUUUGAAUCAAUUGCUUCUACUUUUGGGUUGACUCAUAAUAUUCAUUCGUAUAAUGGGCUGAUGUAUGCAUUUGGGAAGGUCAAUAAGGCAGAUGAAGUUUCAAAGGUGUUUGGGUACAUAGUAAAUUCGGGUCUCAAGCCUAAUGCAAAGUCGUAUUGCCUGCUUAUCGAUGCCCACCUGAUUAAUAGGGAUGUCAAAUCUGCUAUGGGAGUGCUUGAUGAUAUGAUAGCUGCUGGAUUUGAACCGAUGAAAGGGACACUAAAAAAGAUCAGAAGACGAUGCAUACGAGAGUUCGACACUGAAAGCGAUGAACGACUGGAGUCACUCGCUCUAUCUUACAAUUACCGAAUGGGUUCUGAAGGCCGACGAAACAUGCUGUUUAAUCUUAAUUACAGUACUGAAAUGGCUUGAAUGUGCGCACAUUUUGGUUAAGAGUCUUUAUCUUUCACACACACUCACAGGUACAUACGGGGAAGACUGUUAUGAAGGGCUACCUCGCAUUAUUUUCUUUGUAACCCCUCACCUUUUCUCAAUGGUGCACUUGUCUUUGAUGGCAAAAUGAAUAUUUUUAUAAGCCAAUCAGUAAUUCUUUUAUUGCAUCCAUUACCAAGAGAAUCCCUGUAUGUAUAUUAGUGGAUGAUACUCUGAGGUUUGCCGACGCAGAUUGGUCCGAGGAAUUUUUUUCGUUUCUGUAUUAAUGUGUUUAUGAAGCGGGAAGGGUGUUGAAGAUGGAAUUUGCUUUUUAGGGAUAUCUGAGCAGUGAACUUCCUAGUAUAAGUUUUUAUGAAAUAAUUGUAGGACAAAUCCAAAUUCAGUAGGAUAGAUGAUAUUAAAGCAGACAUCUCUUUUGUGGUUCUUAAUUUUGUUUUUGGCACUUUGACAACCACUUCUAACCACUAGAAGCUGCAAGGAUUUGAAAACCUUGUAUAAGAAUUACAAUCCUAAUUGUAUGGACCUGUGGUUGUAUUUCUUUCUGCUGCAAAUAAUGGCAACAUUUUUAAUUCAAUGCAUGUUUUAUAAAA